RNAcentral lists this unclassified non-coding RNA (364 nucleotides) under Hevea brasiliensis (rubber tree). Lineage: Eukaryota; Viridiplantae; Streptophyta; Magnoliopsida; Malpighiales; Euphorbiaceae. The record is from RNAcentral.
UCCCCCUACAACUCUGAUCAUAAUUUGAAAGGGUAUGGCCCUAACCAUUCGAAAAUGCAUUGUCUAUACAACUACAAACGGACACUAUUACCAUGCAAAUGUAAAAAUUUUGACAGCAUCUCUCCUAGGUUCUCCAAUUGCACGAUAUGAAAAAUGAGCUAUUCCAUUUAAGAUUAUUAAAUGAAAUAUCACAUUUCUAUAUAUGCAAUCAUAGAACAUAGUGAGAUACCACUAAAUUUCUACUUAUGCAUAAGUCAAGAGGCAUCCAUUUGCAGAUAUCGAAUAUAGACAUGGCAUUUGCAAACUGUCCUUCAGGACAAUUCGGUAAAAGCUCACCCUCCAGUGAGCAUAUCACUGAACAGUA